Molecule: ribosomal RNA, 535 nt
Filed under: uncultured Sebacinales
Lineage: Eukaryota; Fungi; Basidiomycota; Agaricomycetes; Sebacinales
Description: eukaryotic LSU rRNA
Rfam family: Eukaryotic large subunit ribosomal RNA (bases 176-535)
Source: RNAcentral
GUGGACUUGGACCCUGCUGUGUCACAAUGGCUGGUCUGAAAUGCAUGAGUGCACCCUGCUGUAGCAGCGUCUUCAGUGUGAUAAGUAUCUUCACUGAUUCAAGCUCCCCUGUGGGACACGCUUGUCUGGUGGGCUCUGUGCUUCUAACCGUCCACAUGGACAACUCUUGACAAUUUGACCUCAAAUCGGGUGGGACUACCCGCUGAACUUAAGCAUAUCAAUAAGCGGAGGAAAAGAAACUAACAAGGAUUCCCCUAGUAACGGCGAGUGAAGAGGGAAAAGCUCAAAUUUUGAAUCUGGUACCUUUGGUGCCCGAGUUGUAAUCUAGAGAAGUGUUUUCUGCCUUGGACCACGCAUAAAUUCCCUGGAAUGGGGUGUCAUAGAGGGUGAGAAUCCCGUUUGUGGUGUGGACUACCUUGGCUUUGUGAUACACUCUCAACGAGUCGAGUUGUUUGGGAAUGCAGCUCAAAAUGGGUGGUAAAUUCCAUCUAAAGCUAAAUAUUGGCGAGAGACCGAUAGCGAACAAGUACCGUGA